UGCCUGAACCUCGGUUCUUUCGGCAACUCGGGCUAAAACAGAUGGUCAUCAGUGCUUGAAGCUGCAAUGAAAGAUGAGGAACACAUAUUUGUCAAGAACUUUCUAUACAUCAGAUUAUUUACUCCUAAGGAAGCAGCUGGAGUUUUGCUGUGGACCCUGAGUGUGCCUGAUGGCUAAGAAAGUCAAGCCUGCAGAAGGAGUUCCCAGAAGUAUUUGAUCAGUUUUUUGUUUCCUGUUCAAAUAAUAAGACUAGAUUAACACACAUUCCCCAGGGUGGUGAGGAUUCUUGACCUGCUGCCUUCGUCUGUCUACUUUAUCCCCAAGCUCUGUUUGUGGGCUCAGGGGCUUGGUCCCAGACCGUGGGAAGCCAUGCUGACCAUCAAUUGUUCAUCAUAGAUUUCCCCUGGAGCCCUCCCUGUCUCUCCAGCUCUUCCCAAGGUCUGCUUCUUCUAGGAUCCGGUCCAGUGUGGGCUACCAAUAUCCUCUGGCAUCCAGAACUCAGCCCCGUGAUGAUGCUCUUCCCAAGAAUGUGACCUGAGCCACAACAUUUUACUGACAUGUCCCCUAGAGUCCUCUCUCUCAUUCCAAGAAGAGCUCUGUGGCUUCCCUCCAGUGCUGGGACUGUCUCUAAGAUGAAGGUGGGCAAACUCAUUCACUCAUUUAACAAGCUUUUAGUGAACGCAUGGUAUGUACUGUUCCUAGGCUCAGCUCUUGAAGAGUCUGUGGUAGAUGGAGCUUCACAUUUCAGGUUUCCAAUGGCUCUGAGAGGCUGAACUAUAGGAAUUUCAGAGGGCCAUCUCCUUUAAACAAGAGCCAUUCUGUAACACACCAUUGAGUUCAUUGACCCAUAUUAAGCCAUACCAUAUACAAUAGAGUCUCUGUUCACUGGUCUUUACUUAGCCUAUGUUGUAGAGUAUAUCUUUGCUCCAGAUAGUCACUACCUCCUUUGGGAGAGGAUUGCAUGACCUCUCCCUUUGAGAUCAAGCUUGUCCAAGAGUUGCAGUGCCCCACCACACACCCCACCACCCCGUCCAGCCCCAGGAGAUUAUAUUGUCCCCUCCCUGAAGAAAGACUCAACCAUGUGACUUGCUCUGGCUAGUACAAGGUGAAGUUAAGGCAUGUGCCAGGUCCACAUGGAAGUGGUAAGGGCCAUUGCAUGGUUCCACAUCCCUUUUCCUGUACCAUGAUACUGGCAUGCCCCAGAUAGGGACAGAUCCUUUCACCUGGAUUCUGAAACAACGAGCGGGAGACAUGGAGCUCCAGCCAAAUGGGAAGGGUGCCUGAUGUGGAGGAGAAGCAAAUCUUUGUUCUUGUAAGCCAAUGAAGCUUUGGAGCUAUAUGUCACUGCAGCAUAAACUGAUGAAAGCCGACAGUGCGACAGAAAUGCAUGUGUUGUGUUUACGAGCAACACUACUUGCAUGGAAGACAGUCACGAAUGCUCACAAGCUGAACAUCAUCAGCUCUGCAGCAGCUCUCUGGGGUGCACACAUUCUUCUGUGUCCCCCAGGGGAGAGAUGUAUGCUUGCCACAAAUCGGACAUAUUUUUUCCCAACCUGUUUAUUCCAGUUGCACAUGUCACUGCAAUUACAUAAUCUAAUUAAAUAGUGUGAAACCAAUGAAGUAUGAGUACAAAAAGAAGGAUAUUUAUUGUUUCUCUUAAAACUAAGUCCAGGCCAGUCGUGGUGGCUCAUGCCUGUAAUCCUACCACUUUGGGAGGUCAAAGCGGGUGGAUCACCUGAGGGCAGGAGUUCAAGACCAGCCUGGUCAACAUGGUGAAACCUGGUCUCUACUGAGAAUAUAAAAUUAGCCAGGCAUGGUGGCACACGCCUGUAAUCCCAGCUACUUUGGCGGCUGAGGCAGGAGAAUCAUUUGAACCUGGUAGGUAGAGGUCGCAGUGAGCCGAGAUCACACCCCUGUACUCCAGCCUGGGCAACAAGAGUGAAACUCCAUUAAAUAAAUAAAUAAAUAAAUAAAUAAAUAAAUAAAUAAAACCCAAACAAACAAACAAAACAAACAAACGUAAGUUGAAUGCUUUGAAAAGACUGCAAACAGGCAAGUCUUUCAGCAUAUUGCUGUUGAAUUAAGUGUAGGUGAGACAACCGUAUCAUAAAACUCCAGAAGUUUUGGAAUUUUGAUUAUUUCUCAAAUGGCUUUAUUUUCACACUUCACUUUAAAGAAAUCAAAAUGGAAAUCCCAAAUGAUUCAUAGGAGCGGU
Molecule: long non-coding RNA, 2215 nt
Filed under: Homo sapiens (human)
Lineage: Eukaryota; Metazoa; Chordata; Mammalia; Primates; Hominidae
Description: HSALNT0247913
Source: RNAcentral